RNAcentral lists this ribosomal RNA (492 nucleotides) under uncultured bacterium. Its description in RNAcentral is "partial 16S ribosomal RNA". It matches the Rfam family "Bacterial small subunit ribosomal RNA", at positions 29 to 507 of the family's 1533-position model. The record is from RNAcentral.
AGUGAACGCUGGCGGUAUGCCUAACACAUGCAAGUCGAACGGCAGCACAGUAAGAGCUUGCUCUUACGGGUGGCGAGUGGCGGACGGGUGAGGAAUACAUCGGAAUCUACUUUUUCGUGGGGGAUAACGUAGGGAAACUUACGCUAAUACCGCAUACUACCUACGGGUGAAAGCAGGGGAUCUUCGGACCUUUCGCGAUUGAAUGAGCCGAUGUCGGAUUAGCUAGUUGGCGGGGUAACGUCCCACCAAGGCAACGAUGCGUAGCUGAUCUGAGAGGAUGAUCGGCCACACUGGAACUGAGACACGGUCCAGACUCCUACGGGAGGCAGCAGUAGGGAAUCUUCCGCGAUGGGCGGAGGCCGGAUGGAGCAGCGCUGCGGGAGUGAUGAAGGUCGUCGGAUCGUAAAACUCUGUUUUUAGGGAAGAACAAAUGUGUAAGUAACUGUGCACAUCGUGACGGUACCUAAUCAGAAAGAAACGGCUAACUACGUG